GGCACAGGUUAAAUAGAUCUUUAAUAUAUAAAUAUUUAUAAUUUUAAUUUAGACACCACUACACAUGAAUGUAAUAUUUGCUCUUCCGGUGUUAAUAUUCUGCCGCGUUUCAACUGAACAGCGGUAUACAAUGCACAUGCGCACUUUGCGUUGUUGAGCAAGUACUGGGCAGUCAAGGAGCAAAUAAAUUUUAAUUUGUUGUGUUCGUUCAAUAUUUUUUAAUAAAAAUGGCAACGAAGGGCAUUGAAUCAAGAUUAAGAAGUUACAAAUACAACGACAGAGACCAAGCAGUAAGUAGAGUACAACGUACAGUCGAUAUUUUUUGACCGGUGUUAGUUCUUCUCAAGCUCAGUAACUCACCUUGAGUCUUUGGGAAGUAGCAGUCUGGUCUGACGGAAUGUACGAUUGUUAAAUAUACACGUUUUGUUAUCUUCUACUCUCACUUAAACUACCUCUGCUAGCUAAUCCUUCAAUAUAUAAAGCCUUUUUAAAUUUAGGUGUGAAUAAAUUAUGAAGGAGGACUGAAAUCAAUAUCAUUGAUUCAGCAAGAAUUGAAAACAUCUCGACAAUGACAUUGUUCACUGAAUAACCUGAUCUAAUAUAAAGUGUGUAUUGAGUGUUUAGAAGUGAAUUAGUUCUGGUGAAAUUGAUGAGUAUGUUGAAGAAUAAAUUUAAAUUGACAUACUUGCAAAUUUGUUUAUAAAUCAAAGGCUUCAUAUCGUAAACCACCCCAGCUGAUGCUUUUGAUAAACGUGUAAUUAUAUUUGAAUGCUCUAGGGGUCCAGUGGGGUGACCUCUGGGGGUCCAGUGGUAAUUUAGUGUUUUGUAAAUGCCAUUUUGUGCAUCUAUAAAUGUGAUUCAUAACAUGUUGAGGGGUGGUUAGUUGCGUCAGGUUAAGUGGUCACAAGCCUUUAUUAUAUUCAUUUUGAAAUCAAUAUGAUUCCCAAAUCUCACCAUUUUGAGCAUUAAGUUGCAGAGCUUCCCCAUUGACGAGUAAAAUUGUCUGGCGUUGGACAAGUAAAAAAAUAAGUAGGGCGCACUGGGGCGCAUUGCGGCUCAAUGAGUUAAUAGACUGCUUUAGGCAAAUGCAACGCGACAUCGACCAGGAUAUGAAAAUGGCGGCAUGGCAAGUGGUUUAGUCUAGGAUGUUGUUCACGUUGUGUUUAGGACGGCAUUUAGGGUGUUUUCACGUCCUAUCUAGAACGUCACAAAAUUAUGCUUGUUUUGAAAGUAUGAGAGUAUGCACAACAAAAAACAUUUAAAUAGUUGUUUUAUUCAAUAAAAACAGUCUAUUUUGUUCCCCAUGUAUUCUUUAAUAUUUGUAGCUGAAUUUUGUUUUGAUUGACAAGUUUGUGUUCUUAUGUGUUGCUGAGGUUUGGACAGAUUGAUUUUUGACAAGUACUUUCAUUGUCAUAACAAAACAAGAAAACUGCAAGCAUUGUUGACCUCUUCAAUACUGCUUCUAUUGCUGACCAAAAGACAAAUUUUAAUUAGAGCACAAUUACUGAAUUACAACAAAACUUUCAUAUGUAGAAAAAAGUAAUAAUAUUGAAUAAUUAAGCACAAAAAACAAAAUCAUUUUUACUUGCCUUUACACAAAAAAUAUGACAAUACAUGACAAAUAAAAAAAUAGGUAUGCAUUGUAUAUAGGUGCGUACAUGUGGUUAGCCUAUAGGAUUGGCAAUUGUUAUAACGUAUAGCUAAGGCCUAAAAAAAUACCUGUGGUUCCGGUUCCCAACCGACCCUAUUUUUUUCUGCCGACCCCAUUAUUUUUUCAAUGCAAUUGACUGUGCAACCCUAUUUUCUCUGGGUGGUUGCGGGCUGUUCAUACAGCGUGCCAAAUGGCAUCUGUUGUCACACUAAUCAUUGAACCAAAUUGCCUAAAUUCGUCCAUAGGAAAUACGCAUCUCUAGUUAAUAUUGAUGUCCGGACUCUACUGCAAGUCACCCAGCAAAAAACCACCAAAACCAUGAAAAAAAAUAUAUUUCCGACCUACCGACCCUAAUUUUUUCACGAUAUGAAACCGGAACCACAGGUAUUUUUUUAGGCCUAGUUUCAUUUAAAAUAAGUAAAUUAAUUGCUUGUUUGCAAUCGAGGCCAUCUUGGUUGAUUUUUCAACCAUUGAACCAUAAGAUUUAUAUUCUUCAUUCUUUGUUGUAUGAAGCCAGAUACCUUAUAAACUAUCCAUAAUACAGCAACAUUUUUAAAAAUUAUUUGAUAAUUUUCAGAAAAAAUUAUGGUUUGAUAUACAGUAGAAAUGAUAGAGAUCAUAGUGUCUCAGCAUGUGCAUGUUGUACGAUAUGUUUGACAUUUCCUCACAUCAUUUCUCCUUCCUGUGUCUGUUAAAUUUAAUAAGUUAUAUUUCUUGUAGUCAUCAAGGCAAAGACGAAAUGAUGUUACAGUUGAAUUAAGAAAGGUAGUAUUUGUUUUUAUUUAAAAAGGAAAUUUUGUGUUUGGGCUUACUUAAUGUUU
Non-coding RNA from Paramuricea clavata, 2472 nucleotides. The record is from the annotation of a GenBank genome assembly. Lineage: Eukaryota; Metazoa; Cnidaria; Anthozoa; Malacalcyonacea; Plexauridae.